UUGGACGGGGCCCGCACAAGCAGCGGAGCGUGUGGUUUAAUUCGACGCAACGCGCAGAACCUUACCAGGGUUUGACAUGUAGCUGUAAGGCCUAGAGAUAGGUCCCCCCCGCAAGGGGCGGUUACACAGAUGCUGCAUGGCUGUCGUCAGCUCGUGCCGUGAGGUAUUGGGUUAAGUCCCGCAACGAGCGCAACCCUCGUCGCCAGUUGCUCUCUCUGGCGAGACUGCCGCGACAAACGCGGAGGAAGGUGGGGAUGACGUCAAGUCAGCACGGCUCUUACAUCCUGGGCUACACACACGCUACAAUGGGCGGUAACAGAGGGUUGCUAAGGGGCGACCUGGAGCCAAUCCCAACAAAACCGUCCUCAGUUCAGAUUGCAGGCUGAAACUCGCCUGCAUGAAGACGGAGUUGCUAGUAACCGCAGGUCAGCACACUGCGGUGAAUACGUUCCCGGGCCUU
Molecule: ribosomal RNA, 460 nt
Filed under: uncultured Chloroflexota bacterium
Lineage: Bacteria; Bacillati; Chloroflexota
Description: bacterial SSU rRNA
Rfam family: Bacterial small subunit ribosomal RNA
Source: RNAcentral